AACGAACGCUGGCGGCAUGCCUAACACAUGCAAGUCGAACGAGACCUUCGGGUCUAGUGGCGCACGGGUGCGUAACGCGUGGGAACCUGCCUUUAGGUUCGGAAUAACUCAGAGAAAUUUGAGCUAAUACCGGAUAAUGUCUUCGGACCAAAGAUUUAUCGCCUUUAGAUGGGCCCGCGUAAGAUUAGCUAGUUGGUGGGGUAAAGGCCUACCAAGGCGACGAUCUUUAGCUGGUCUGAGAGGAUGAUCAGCCACACUGGGACUGAGACACGGCCCAGACUCCUACGGGAGGCAGCAGUGGGGAAUAUUGGACAAUGGGCGAAAGCCUGAUCCAGCAAUGCCGCGUGAGUGAUGAAGGCCUUAGGGUUGUAAAAGCUCUUUUACCCGAGAUGAUAAUGACAGUAUCGGGAGAAUAAGCUCCGGCUAACUCCGUGCCAGCAGCCGCGGAAU
This 450-nucleotide ribosomal RNA is filed under the name uncultured bacterium. RNAcentral's name for it is "bacterial SSU rRNA". It matches the Rfam family "Bacterial small subunit ribosomal RNA", at positions 29 to 523 of the family's 1533-position model. The record is from RNAcentral.